RNAcentral lists this ribosomal RNA (289 nucleotides) under Ignatzschineria indica. Its description in RNAcentral is "partial 16S ribosomal RNA". It matches the Rfam family "Bacterial small subunit ribosomal RNA", at positions 1 to 284 of the family's 1533-position model. The record is from RNAcentral. Lineage: Bacteria; Pseudomonadati; Pseudomonadota; Gammaproteobacteria; Cardiobacteriales; Ignatzschineriaceae.
AAACUGAAGAGUUUGAUCCUGGCUCAGAUUGAACGCUGGCGGUAUGCUUAACACAUGCAAGUCGAACGGCAGCACGAGGAGAGUUUACUCUCUUCGGUGGCGAGUGGCGGACGGGUGAGUAAUGCAUAGGAAUCUACCUUUUAGUCUAGGAUAACUACCCGAAAGGGUGGCUAAUACUGGAUGUGGACUACGGUUUAAAGCAGGGGAUCUUCGGACCUUGCGCUAAGAGAUGAGCCUAUGUGGGAUUAGCUAGUUGGUGAGGUAACGGCUCACCAAGGCGACGAUCUCU